GGCAUCAUAUUGACACUGAGGUUCGAAAGCGUGGGUAGCAAACAGGAUUAGAUACCCUGGUAGUCCACGCCGUAAACGAUGUCUACUAGUCGUUGGGUCCCUUGAGGACUUAGUGACGCAGCUAACGCAAUAAGUAGACCGCCUGGGGAGUACGGCCGCAAGGUUAAAACUCAAAUGAAUUGACGGGGGCCCGCACAAGCGGUGGAGCAUGUGGUUUAAUUCGAUGCAACGCGAAGAACCUUACCUGGUCUUGACAUAUCUAGAAUCCUGCAGAGAUGCGGGAGUGCCUUCGGGAAUUAGAAUACAGGUGCUGCAUGGCUGUCGUCAGCUCGUGUCGUGAGAUGUUGGGUUAAGUCCCGCAACGAGCGCAACCCUUGUCCUUAGUUACCAGCGGGUUAAGCCGGGAACUCUAAGGAUACUGCCAGUGACAAACUGGAGGAAGGCGGGGACGACGUCAAGUCAUCAUGGCCCUUACGACCAGGGCUACACACGUGCUACAAUGGUAGGUACAGAGGGCAGCUACACAGCGAUGUGAUGCGAAUCUUUCAAAGCCUAUCGUAGUCCAGAUUGGAGUCUGCAACUCGACUCCAUGAAGUAGGAAUCGCUAGUAAUCGCGGAUCAGAAUGCCGCGGUGAAUACGUUCCCGGGCCUUGUACACACCGCCCGUCACACCAUGGGAGUUGAUUGCACCAGAAGUGGUUAGCCUAACGUAAGAGGGCGAUCACCACGGUGUGGUUGAUGACUGGGGUGAAGUCGUAACAAGGUAACCGUA
This 772-nucleotide ribosomal RNA is filed under the name uncultured bacterium. Its description in RNAcentral is "bacterial SSU rRNA". It matches the Rfam family "Bacterial small subunit ribosomal RNA", at positions 731 to 1504 of the family's 1533-position model. The record is from RNAcentral.